RNAcentral lists this ribosomal RNA (253 nucleotides) under Enterococcus faecalis. Its description in RNAcentral is "partial 16S ribosomal RNA". It matches the Rfam family "Bacterial small subunit ribosomal RNA", at positions 1 to 231 of the family's 1533-position model. Lineage: Bacteria; Bacillati; Bacillota; Bacilli; Lactobacillales; Enterococcaceae. The record is from RNAcentral.
UUAUUAUGAGAGUUUGAUCCUGGCUCAGGACGAACGCUGGCGGCGUGCCUAAUACAUGCAAGUCGAACGCUUCUUUCCUCCCGAGUGCUUGCACUCAAUUGGAAAGAGGAGUGGCGGACGGGUGAGUAACACGUGGGUAACCUACCCAUCAGAGGGGGAUAACACUUGGAAACAGGUGCUAAUACCGCAUAACAGUUUAUGCCGCAUGGCAUAAGAGUGAAAGGCGCUUUCGGGUGUCGCUGAUGGAUGGACC